Molecule: ribosomal RNA, 255 nt
Filed under: uncultured bacterium
Lineage: Bacteria
Description: partial 16S ribosomal RNA
Rfam family: Bacterial small subunit ribosomal RNA
Source: RNAcentral
GACGGGUGAGUAACGCGUGGGUAACCUGCCUUAUACAGGGGGAGUAACAGUCAGAAAUGGCUGCUAAUACCGCAUAAGCGCACAGAGCUGCAUGGCUCAGUGUGAAAAACUCCGGUGGUAUAAGAUGGACCCGCGUUGGAUUAGCUAGUUGGUGGGGUAACGGCCCACCAAGGCGACGAUCCAUAGCCGGCCUGAGAGGGUGAACGGCCACAUUGGGACUGAGACACGGCCCAGACUCCUACGGGAGGCAGCAUG